UCGCCUACGGGAGGCAGCAGUGGGGAAUAUUGGGCAAUGGGCGCAAGCCUGACCCAGCAACGCCGCGUGAAGGAAGAAGGCUUUCGGGUUGUAAACUUCUUUUCUCAGGGACGAAGCAAGUGACGGUACCUGAGGAAUAAGCCACGGCUAACUACGUGCCAGCAGCCGCGGUAAUACGUAGGUGGCAAGCGUUAUCCGGAUUUACUGGGUGUAAAGGGCGUGUAGGCGGGGACGCAAGUCAGAUGUGAAAACCACGGGCUCAACCUGUGGCCUGCAUUUGAAACUGUUUCCCUUGAGUGUCGGAG
This 305-nucleotide ribosomal RNA is filed under the name uncultured bacterium. RNAcentral describes it as "bacterial SSU rRNA". It matches the Rfam family "Bacterial small subunit ribosomal RNA", at positions 335 to 654 of the family's 1533-position model. The record is from RNAcentral.